This is a long non-coding RNA of Gadus morhua (Atlantic cod), 2174 nucleotides long. RefSeq lists it as uncharacterized. The transcript has 2 exons. The record is from RefSeq and is a predicted model, not a curated record. Lineage: Eukaryota; Metazoa; Chordata; Actinopteri; Gadiformes; Gadidae.
CCCCCCCCCCCCCCCCCCCACACCGGUACCGCCGUGCUGCGGGCCACCGGCUGUGCAUCCAAACAAGACAGCAAAAUCAAGACAGAUGGAGCUUUCUCGGAUCAGCCUCAGGCACAGAAUCACAACCAGAUAGUGUUCCAAAACCCUCUGAACGAUCACGCUGGCUGUUCCUUUGGCAGCAGCAGCAGUGAUAGAAGGAGUCGUUGUUCAGGGCCUGCACAGGAAGAGACUAGGUUUAGUUGGCGUUCAGAUGAUCCCCUUAGCAGACCGUCGCCCUGAGGUCAGGGCCGUUCAGCGAGGUCCAGACCAGACUCAAGCGUCUCUUCUUGAAGCUUUCUACGAUGAGCAUGACCCACAAUGCAUCAUAAUGAGUCCACAAUAAGACGUUGAGAUGCCAAUCAUGUUGGAGUUGGGCUUCUUCCUCCACUAUGCCAUUUUGACGCCAGGAUGAGAAUGAGCACACACACGUGUUCUGCAGAGCAAUGAGUCUGGUCCUUUCAGAGUUGAAGGCCCAAUUUAAAGCCAAAAUUGAACCGUAUAUUUAAUAUAUAGACUACGUCUACUACAUGUGUCAAAUGUGCAAAAGAAAGUUUGUUUAUGAGUUAUGCAGAGCAUCAUUUAUAUUGUACAUUAUCUUUAUAGUUAUACGCAUGCUGUCUUAAGAAUCCCAAUGGUGUUUCAGAAAAGCUGGCCAAUGUUUAUUGCGAAUACACAUAUAUAUCUAUAUAUACACACACAUACACAGGUAUAUUAUAUCUUAUAAUACUGUAUAUAUAAUGUUAAUUUUUCUUGUCAGUAAUCUUUUCUGUGUUUUUUCUAAAGGAAUGCCACACUGCUCCCUGACUUCACUUGGUAUCUCUUUAAUACACAACAUGACGUCUAACAUGUGGCAGGAACAUCCCAGAAGCACUCUGGAUAGCUACUGCAGCCCAUUAAGGUUCACUCACAGCUUACAGGGAACUGUACCCCCUAAAGGUUCACUCACAGCUAUCAGGGAACUGUACCCCCUAAAGGUUCACUCACAGCUAACAGGGAACUGUACCCCCUAAAGGUUCACUCACAGCUAACAGGGUACUGUACCCCCUAAAGAUUAUGACCACUUACAGCUAACAGGGUACUGUACCCCAUAAAGGUCAUGUCCACUAACAACUUACAGGAUACUGUACCCCCUAAAUUCCCCCUUACAGCUAACAGGGUACUGUACCCCCUCAAGGUCAUGUCCACUAACAACUAGCCCUAAAGGAUCACUAACAUCUUACAGUCAUGGACAUUUGGUGGAAAUAGGAUUAGAUGGAAACUUGAAAUAGUUUAAACAUUUCCGGGGGACCACAGCUAUUAGUGUUUUAGUAAUGGAACUGAGAACAGGUUUACACAUAUUCCACUGUUAGGACUUGUAUGUCUAUCAAUUGAGAUGAUAAUCAUGCAGGCCUAUUAAUUAGUGUUCUACAUAAAAUCAUUUACGAAAUGAUCAAAGAUUAAGAGGGAAAUAAAUUAGUGUUCAAUCAAAACAAUUAUAUAUUUCCCAAUAUAUGUAUAUUUUUAUAAGGUAUGAAAGAACAGGUUAGCAUAAGUGAAACCAUGACUAUAUUAAGCCUCUUAUCAUAAAUUCAAUAGCCUCCGAGUUUAAAAAAAAAUCUUUCCCACACUAAUAGUUCACGAAAGCAUUGUGCUUGUUAAGCUCUUAGCCCCUGCAUUACGGAACAUCUGCCCUGCCCUCAAUACCUUCCAAUCAUUAUCAUCAGGUAAAACUGUCUGUGCCUCGAAUGGCUCAGAGAUAAACGCACUGAAGGCUAACAUCACACUGAAGUCAACAUACCCCUAUAAUCAACCUACCCCUAACAUCAACAUACCGUUACCAUGCCACUGAAAUCAACAUACCCCUACAUUUUGCCAAAGUAGACGAGAAGGAAGGGGUCAGGAAGAAUAGCUGCUGUGUUGGACUGAUUAGAUAUUUAUUCAGAAUCAUGUCUAUAAUAUUAUUAUUUAUUGUGGCUAAACUAAAAUGUCUAUGUCGAGUCCCAUUUGUUUUAUGCUGGUUGUGAUUUGUAGAAUUGUCACAGGCCUAAUUUAUUUUGAUUCAUAUUCUGUGAAACCGGAUACAUUUUGCACAAAAUGUUAAAUACAUGUUAGAAAUCGAUUUGUUUCUUAUGGUAGAUUAAAACCAAAAUCCUUUU